Molecule: long non-coding RNA, 550 nt
Organism: Mastomys coucha (southern multimammate mouse)
Lineage: Eukaryota; Metazoa; Chordata; Mammalia; Rodentia; Muridae
Exons: 2
Source: RefSeq, a predicted model, not a curated record
CAGUAAUUUGGACACAAUUGAAGUCAAAUGGAAUUAGAGUUAAACGCCUUUAGCAACAAAGGUGCUGAAAAGAGAAGACUUGGGGGAGGGGUCAUGAACUGCAAGGGCGUGAAGAGGGGAGAGAGAAGUCGUACACAGCCUUCAGGAUUAGAAGCUGGUCCUGCCUACCCUGUUUACCAUUUCCCCGGGCUGAGCCCCAGUCUCAUCAACAGAAGUUUAGAGACACAAAAUGGACUUUCAAAAUAACUCUCCCCCCAGCCCUCCAAGGAGCUGUCUUUAUUAGAGCCAACAAAGAAUGCUGUGGAUAAAUCUCCCUCCUGAUGCAAAAGACUCAAUUCACCUAGGUGACCUGUCCAGACCAGGAGCUUAGUUCUCACUGGGUUCCCAGAAUUGAGUCUGAGAGUGAGGAACUGUGGACCUGGAACAACGGCCGAGCAUCCCCAGCUGAGGAGAGCUGGUUCCUCAGAGCUGUCUGCAUCUUCCUCUGGUCCCAGCUACGCAAGCAUAAUGCACAAAUAUAUUCCCUUUAUUAAAGCAUGAGAGCAGAUAA